AUCGGGGCAGGGUGAGUCGACCCCUAAGGCGAGGCCGAAAGGCGUAGUCGAUGGGAAACAGGUUAAUAUUCCUGUACUUGGUGUUACUGCGAAGGGGGGACGGAGAAGGCUAUGUUAGCCGGGCGACGGUUGUCCCGGUUUAAGCAUGUAGGCUGGUUAUCCAGGCAAAUCCGGAUAACCAAGGCUGAGGUGUGAUGACGAGGCACUACGGUGCUGAAGUAACAAAUGCCCUGCUUCCAGGAAAAGCCUCUAAGCAUCAGGUAACAUCAAAUCGUACCCCAAACCGACACAGGUGGUCAGGUAGAGAAUACCAAGGCGCUUGAGAGAACUCGGGUGAAGGAACUAGGCAAAAUGGUGCCGUAACUUCGGGAGAAGGCACGCUGGUGUGUAGGUGAAGUCCCUGCGGAUGGAGCUGAGACCAGUCGAAGAUACCAGCUGGCUGCAACUGUUUAUUAAAAACACAGCACUGUGCAAACACGAAAGUGGACGUAUACGGUGUGACGCCUGCCCGGUGCCGGAAGGUUAAUUGAUGGGGUUAUCCGUAAGGAGAAGCUCUUGAUCGAAGCCCCGGUAAACGGCGGCCGUAACUAUAACGGUCCUAAGGUAGCGAAAUUCCUUGUCGGGUAAGUUCCGACCUGCACGAAUGGCGUAAUGAUGGCCAGGCUGUCUCCACCCGAGACUCAGUGAAAUUGAACUCGCUGUGAAGAUGCAGUGUACCCGCGGCAAGACGGAAAGACCCCGUGAACCUUUACUAUAGCUUGACACUGAACAUUGAGCCUUGAUGUGUAGGAUAGGUGGGAGGCUUUGAAGCGUGGACGCCAGUCUGCGUGGAGCCAACCUUGAAAUACCACCCUUUAAUGUUUGAUGUUCUAACGUUGGCCCCUGACCGGGGUUGCGGACAGUGUCUGGUGGGUAGUUUGACUGGGGCGGUCUCCUCCCAAAGCGUAACGGAGGAGCACGAAGGUUAGCUAAUCCUGGUCGGACAUCAGGAGGUUAGUGCAAUGGCAUAAGCUAGCUUGACUGCGAGCGUGACGGCGCGAGCAGGUGCGAAAGCAGGUCAUAGUGAUCCGGUGGUUCUGAAUGGAAGGGCCAUCGCUCAACGGAUAAAAGGUACUCCGGGGAUAACAGGCUGAUACCGCCCAAGAGUUCAUAUCGACGGCGGUGUUUGGCACCUCGAUGUCGGCUCAUCACAUCCUGGGGCUGAAGUAGGUCCCAAGGGUAUGGCUGUUCGCCAUUUAAAGUGGUACGCGAGCUGGGUUUAGAACGUCGUGAGACAGUUCGGUCCCUAUCUGCCGUGGGCGCUGGAGAAUUGAGGGGGGCUGCUCCUAGUACGAGAGGACCGGAGUGGACGCAUCACUGGUGUUCGGGUUGUCAUGCCAAUGGCA
This 1385-nucleotide ribosomal RNA is filed under the name Klebsiella pneumoniae. RNAcentral's name for it is "bacterial LSU rRNA". It matches the Rfam family "Bacterial large subunit ribosomal RNA", at positions 1368 to 2737 of the family's 2925-position model. Lineage: Bacteria; Pseudomonadati; Pseudomonadota; Gammaproteobacteria; Enterobacterales; Enterobacteriaceae. The record is from RNAcentral.